RNAcentral lists this ribosomal RNA (606 nucleotides) under uncultured Alphaproteobacteria bacterium. Its description in RNAcentral is "bacterial SSU rRNA". It matches the Rfam family "Bacterial small subunit ribosomal RNA", at positions 28 to 676 of the family's 1533-position model. The record is from RNAcentral. Lineage: Bacteria; Pseudomonadati; Pseudomonadota; Alphaproteobacteria.
AGCGAACGCUGGCGGCAGGCUUAACACAUGCAAGUCGAGCGGGCGUAGCAAUACGUCAGCGGCAGACGGGUGAGUAACGCGGUGGGAACAUACCUUUUGGUUCGGAACAACACAGGGAAACUUGUGCUAAUACCGGAUAAGCCCUUACGGGNGAAAGAUUUAUCGCCGAAAGAUUGGCCCGCGUCUGAUUAGCUAGUUGGUGAGGUAACGGCUCACCAAGGCGACGAUCAGUAGCUGGUCUGAGAGGAUGAUCAGCCACAUUGGGACUGAGACACGGCCCAAACUCCUACGGGAGGCAGCAGUGGGGAAUAUUGGACAAUGGGCGCAGGCCUGAUCCAGCCAUGCCGCGUGAGUGAUGAAGGCCCUAGGGUUGUAAAGCUCCUUUGUGCGGGAAGAUAAUGACGGUACCGCAAGAAUAAGCCCCGGCUAACUUCGUGCCAGCAGCCGCGGUAAUACGAAGGGGGCUAGCGUUGCUCGGAAUCACUGGGCGUAAAGGGUGCGUAGGCGGGUUUUUAAGUCAGAGGUGAAAUCCUGGAGCUCAACUCCAGAACUGCCUUUGAUACUGAAGAUCUUGAGUUCGGGAGAGGUGAGUGGAACUGCGAGUGU